Molecule: ribosomal RNA, 253 nt
Filed under: uncultured bacterium
Lineage: Bacteria
Description: partial 16S ribosomal RNA
Rfam family: Bacterial small subunit ribosomal RNA
Source: RNAcentral
UACAUGGGGUGCAAACGUUGCUCGGAAUUAUUGGGCGGAAAGCGCGCGUAGGCGGUUAGUUAAGUCGGAUGUGAAAGCCCUCGGCUUAACUGAGGAAGUGCACCCGAAACUGAGUAGCUAGAGUACGAAAGAGGGUCGCGGAAUUCCCGGUGUAGAGGUGAAAUUCGUAGAUAUCGGGAGGAACACCGGUGGCGAAGGCGGCGACCUGGGUCGAGACUGACGCUGAGGCGCGAAAGCGUGGGGAGCAAACAGG